AGUGAACGCUGGCGGUAGGCCUAACACAUGCAAGUCGAACGGCAGCACAGUAAGAGCUUGCUCUUACGGGUGGCGAGUGGCGGACGGGUGAGGAAUACAUCGGAAUCUACUUUUUCGUGGGGGAUAACGUAGGGAAACUUACGCUAAUACCGCAUACGACCUACGGGUGAAAGCAGGGGAUCUUCGGACCUUGCGCGAUUGAAUGAGCCGAUGUCGGAUUAGCUAGUUGGCGGGGUAAAGGCCCACCAAGGCGACGAUCCGUAGCUGGUCUGAGAGGAUGAUCGGCGACACUGGAGGUGAGACACGGUCCAGACUCCUACGGGAGGCAGCAGUGGGGAAUAUUGGACAAUGGUCGCAAGCCUGAUCCAGCCAUACCGCGUGGGUGAAGAAGGCGUUCGGGUUGUAAAGCCCUUUUGUUGGGAAAGAAAAGCAGCAGGUUAAUACCCCGCUGUUCUGACGGUACCCAAAGAAUAAGCACCGGCUAACUUCGUG
RNAcentral lists this ribosomal RNA (492 nucleotides) under uncultured bacterium. Its description in RNAcentral is "partial 16S ribosomal RNA". It matches the Rfam family "Bacterial small subunit ribosomal RNA", at positions 29 to 507 of the family's 1533-position model. The record is from RNAcentral.